This 22-nucleotide microRNA is filed under the name Bombyx mori (domestic silkworm). RNAcentral describes it as "bmo-miR-2755-5p". The record is from miRBase by way of RNAcentral. Lineage: Eukaryota; Metazoa; Arthropoda; Insecta; Lepidoptera; Bombycidae.
CAAGGUGGCCUAGCAGAGUGUU